UACGGGGGGAGCAAGCGUUGUUCGGAUAUACUGGGCGUAAAGGGCGCGUAGGCGGCCUGUGCAAGUCAGUUGUGAAAUCUCCGGGCUUAACUCGGAACGGUCAACUGAUACUGCUCGGCUAGAGUGCGGAAGGGGCAACUGGAAUUCUCGGUGUAGCGGUGAAAUGCGUAGAUAUCGAGAGGAACACCUGCGGCGAAGGCGGGUUGCUGGGCUGACACUGACGCUGAGGCGCGAAAGCCAGGGGAGCGAACGGG
This 254-nucleotide ribosomal RNA is filed under the name uncultured prokaryote. Its description in RNAcentral is "partial 16S ribosomal RNA". It matches the Rfam family "Bacterial small subunit ribosomal RNA", at positions 524 to 776 of the family's 1533-position model. The record is from RNAcentral.